RNAcentral lists this transfer RNA (70 nucleotides) under Agrilus planipennis (emerald ash borer). It matches the Rfam family "tRNA". Rfam says of the family: Transfer RNA (tRNA) molecules are approximately 80 nucleotides in length. Their secondary structure includes four short double-helical elements and three loops (D, anti-codon, and T loops). Further hydrogen bonds mediate the characteristic L-shaped molecular structure. tRNAs have two regions of fundamental functional importance: the anti-codon, which is responsible for specific mRNA codon recognition, and the 3' end, to which the tRNAs corresponding amino acid is attached (by aminoacyl-tRNA synthetases). tRNAs cope with the degeneracy of the genetic code in two manners: having more than one tRNA (with a specific anti-codon) for a particular amino acid; and 'wobble' base-pairing, i.e. permitting non-standard base-pairing at the 3rd anti-codon position. The record is from Rfam by way of RNAcentral. Lineage: Eukaryota; Metazoa; Arthropoda; Insecta; Coleoptera; Buprestidae.
CUCUUUGUAGCUUAGUGGUAAAGUACUGGUGCGUAAAACCAGGAGCCCGGGUUUGAUUCCGGCGACGGAA